UACCAGACUCCUACGGGAGGCAGCAGUGGGGAAUAUUGCACAAUGGGGGAAACCCUGAUGCAGCGACGCCGCGUGAGUGAAGAAGUAUCUCGGUACGUAAAGCUCUAUCAGCAGGGAAGAAAAUGACGGUACCUGACUAAGAAGCCCCGGCUAACUACGUGCCAGCAGCCGCGGUAAUACGUAGGGGGCAAGCGUUAUCCGGAUUUACUGGGUGUAAAGGGAGCGUAGGUGGCGUGCCAAGUCAGGAGUGAAAACCCAGGGCCCAACCUUGGGACUGCUCUUGAAACUGGCAGGCUUGAGUGCUGGAGAGGUAAGCGGAAUUCCUAGUGUAGCGGUGAAAUGCGUAGAUAUUAGGAGGAACACCAGUGGCGAAGGCGGCUUACUGGACAGUGACUGACACUGAGGCUCGAAAGCGUGGGGAGCAAACAGGAUUAGAUACCCUGGUA
This 446-nucleotide ribosomal RNA is filed under the name uncultured bacterium. RNAcentral describes it as "bacterial SSU rRNA". It matches the Rfam family "Bacterial small subunit ribosomal RNA", at positions 329 to 792 of the family's 1533-position model. The record is from RNAcentral.